GGAGAGAUGGCCGAGAGGCUGAAGGCGCCGCUCUCGAAAAGCGGUAUUCCCAAAAGGAAUCGCGGGUUCGAAUCCCGCUCUCUCCGCCA
This 89-nucleotide transfer RNA is filed under the name Deltaproteobacteria bacterium. RNAcentral describes it as "tRNA-Ser". It matches the Rfam family "tRNA". From Rfam's summary of the family: Transfer RNA (tRNA) molecules are approximately 80 nucleotides in length. Their secondary structure includes four short double-helical elements and three loops (D, anti-codon, and T loops). Further hydrogen bonds mediate the characteristic L-shaped molecular structure. tRNAs have two regions of fundamental functional importance: the anti-codon, which is responsible for specific mRNA codon recognition, and the 3' end, to which the tRNAs corresponding amino acid is attached (by aminoacyl-tRNA synthetases). tRNAs cope with the degeneracy of the genetic code in two manners: having more than one tRNA (with a specific anti-codon) for a particular amino acid; and 'wobble' base-pairing, i.e. permitting non-standard base-pairing at the 3rd anti-codon position. The record is from RNAcentral. Lineage: Bacteria; Pseudomonadati; Myxococcota; Myxococcia.